GAUGAACGCUAGCGGCAGGCCUAAUACAUGCAAGUCGAGGGGUAGUGGAAGCUUGCUUCCAUGAGACCGGCGCACGGGUGCGUAACGCGUAUGCAACCUACCUCUAUCUGGGGGAUAGCCCGGAGAAAUCCGGAUUAACACCGCAUAAAAUCACAGUACGGCAUCGUACAAUGAUCAAAUAUUUAUAGGAUAGGGAUGGGCAUGCGUGUCAUUAGUUAGUUGGCGGGGUAACGGCCCACCAAGACCACGAUGACUAGGGGAUCUGAGAGGAUGGCCCCCCACACUGGUACUGAGACACGGACCAGACUCCUACGGGGAGGCAGCAGUAAGGAAUAUUGGUCAAUGGAGGCAACUCUGAACCAGCCAUGCCGCGUGCAGGAAGACGGCCCUCUGGGUUGUAAACUGCUUUUAUUCGGGAAUAACCUGCUUACGUGUAAGUAGCUGAAUGUACCGAAGGAAUAAGGAUCGGCUAACUCCGUGCCAGCAGCCGCGUAAU
RNAcentral lists this ribosomal RNA (496 nucleotides) under uncultured bacterium. Its description in RNAcentral is "bacterial SSU rRNA". It matches the Rfam family "Bacterial small subunit ribosomal RNA", at positions 28 to 524 of the family's 1533-position model. The record is from RNAcentral.